AGUGAACGCUGGCGGCAUGCCUAACACAUGCAAGUCGAACGAGCUUUGGCGGUUUAUCGUCAGAGUUAGUGGCAAACGGGUGAGUAAUACGUGGACAAUCUUCCCUCGAGCGGGGGAUAACUCCGGGAAACCGGAGCUAAUACCGCGUGAGACCACGUCCUGGCAUCAGGAUGAGGUUAAAGCUCCGCAAGGGGCGCUUGAGGAGGGGUUCACGGCCUAUCAGCUAGUUGGCGGGGUUAAAGCCCACCAAGGCGACGACGGGUAACCGGUCUGAAAGGACGACCGGUCACAAUGGCACUGAGACACGGGCCAUACUCCUACGGGAGGCAGCAGUGGGGAAUUUUGCGCAAUGGGGGAAACCCUGACGCAGCGAUGCCGCGUGGAGGACGAAGGUCUUCGGAUUGUAAACUCCUUUUGUCGGUGAAAAACAUUUAGCGUGAAUAACGUAAACUGAUUGUAUCCGGCGAAUAAGCCACGGCUAACUUCGUGCCAGCAGCCGCGGUAAU
Molecule: ribosomal RNA, 506 nt
Filed under: uncultured bacterium
Lineage: Bacteria
Description: bacterial SSU rRNA
Rfam family: Bacterial small subunit ribosomal RNA
Source: RNAcentral